CAUGACUGAGCGACUGAACUGACCAACAGAUUAAGUGAGCAGAGCAAUCAGUCUUGGAUUUGGUAACAAAUUGACCUCACCGGAAUGGCCUGGAGGAAAACACCCCUCACCCCCAACCAAGGGCAGCACGCAACCAACUCGACUGAUAAGGAAACACGAAAGUCCUACUCUUUUGUCUCAAGAGAAUAUGAAAAUGCUACUUCUAUUUCUGAGAGUCUUGUGCUGAGUGCUGGCAUCCAAGUUGUAAAACUGUUCAAGAUUUUUGGACCCAAGAACUCCCACGUGUGAGAGAUCAGACCAUCUUGUGUCAUGCUUUAGAAUUUAGUGUCUCAUUUUCUUUAUUCUGUUCUAGCCCUAAUUCAUCUGUAUUUCAGUAAUCACAGCAGCUAGCUUUUGUAGAUAUCUUUUCAUUAUACCUGAUUUGUCACAACUUUGAUUUUAUUUAAGUAAAUUAAGUAUCUUUACAGGGUGCAUAGUUUUGCAGAGUAGAACAGUUAGGAUUCUGAAUAUGUAGUUAGAAUGUAACCUUCUAAAGAACAGGACUUUGUUUUAUUGUGCUAAAUAGUUUGUUACCUUUUGAUGAAUAUUUUGACUCACUUCAGAGAUGAAUUAAUAGGGAUAAAUUUUUCUAGUACUUUAAAUAAAAUCAUUUAUGAUGGUUCUUACAUCUGUUACUGGAAGGAUGUUAUUUUUCUCUUAAUGAUUGUAAGAAUUGUGUAUCUUAAUUUUAGAAUAAAAAUUUUUACGUAGUAAAUGAAAUUUGGGCUUUGAGAACAAGUACUUUGAAUGUCCAUAAAUGACUUUCUUUUCAUAAACCGCACUGUAUGAGAACUCACACA
Capra hircus (goat) is the source of this 839-nucleotide long non-coding RNA. RefSeq lists it as uncharacterized. NCBI's taxonomy places the organism in Eukaryota, Metazoa, Chordata, Mammalia, Artiodactyla, Bovidae. The record is from RefSeq and is a predicted model, not a curated record. The transcript has 3 exons.